AGAGCACAGGUGCGGCACACACAAGCGUCCACCACCCCAAGAAAGCUCUAAGACUGGGGCCUCCCGUGUCCCUAACUGAGAUCUCCCUGAGUGAGGAGAUGAAUUCCCAGAGAGCAGGGCUGCAAGCGCGGACUGGGCAGGAGAGGCUCCUCGUGGGCAGAUGUCUCCCUCACCGAAGCUUGGAACAGACUCCUGGUCACUCGUCUUGCUCAGUAAAUGACUUCCCAUCCUGCCAGAAGUGUUUGCUCCCUGACUAAACAGAUGUAGUCUCUGAGUCGUGAGAAGUUCUCCGUUGACACCAUCCUGCCACACUCAGCCCACUGAGAGACAACAACCAUUCCCUUU
Molecule: ribozyme, 345 nt
Rfam family: Nuclear RNase P
About the family: Ribonuclease P (RNase P) is a ubiquitous endoribonuclease, found in archaea, bacteria and eukarya as well as chloroplasts and mitochondria. Its best characterised activity is the generation of mature 5'-ends of tRNAs by cleaving the 5'-leader elements of precursor-tRNAs.
Source: Ensembl